RNAcentral lists this long non-coding RNA (646 nucleotides) under Panax ginseng (ginseng). RNAcentral describes it as "long non-coding RNA (PGIN_LNC012671)". Lineage: Eukaryota; Viridiplantae; Streptophyta; Magnoliopsida; Apiales; Araliaceae. The record is from RNAcentral.
UCAAUAUUAAUAUUAUUUCAAAAUUCACGGGUAUUACAUAUGCUCCGGUGGUUUGCUUGAUAACAAAUUCAGAAUCCCCAAAGACUUCUAGACGUUUGACACCCAUUGAUCAGCCUAACUUUUAUCCCAUGAUACAACCCCCAUACUCUGUCGUGUUGUUAGUGUUGUUGAACUAUAGCUUGGUAGCCGUGGGAUAUUGCUCCCAAUGAUGGAUACGAGGACUACCCUUGCUCAUGUGCCAUCAAAGUACAAUUUCAAGAAUUUUCCCAUAUCCUUUCAAUGGACUUGAUGAACUGUCAUCACAUCGUUGUUGGGAAAAUAUGUUUCCAAAGGCUCCAAGUUCCCUGACGGUGCUUCAGCGAGCUGAUCCGCAAUUUCCUGACCUUUAAUGGAUUUUUGUGUUACAUGUAUUUCAAAGGAUCCAUGGGGGAUAUGAGGUAUGUUUUAUGUCCAUGGAGGUAAUGUUGUAACCUCAUGGCAACCUAUGCUAAGGCACAACAGUUUUUUUAAUCAAAGUGUAUUUCUGCUCAUAGCUGCUGAAUCUUUUGUUGAGAUAAUAGAGGGCUCUUUCCUUGUCUCUAUCAUCUUUUUUCCCCAGAAUGCAACCCAUGGCGUUGGAAUUGAUAGAUAUGUAUAUGAAAAGUGG